This 243-nucleotide unclassified non-coding RNA is filed under the name soil metagenome. RNAcentral describes it as "partial internal transcribed spacer 1". The record is from RNAcentral. RNAcentral also lists the same sequence under 1 other name.
AUGAAUAACUUUGGCGUGGUUGUAGCUGGCUCUUAGGAGCAUGUGCACACCCGUCAUUUUUAUCUAUCCACCUGUGCACACUAUGUAGAUCUGGAUAACUCUCGCUCUUCGGAGCGGAAACAAGGAUUGCUGCGUCGCAAGGCCAGCCAGCUCUCUUUGAAUUUCCAGGUCUAUGUUUUAUUACAAACCCCAAUUGUAUGAUGUAGAAUGUUGUCAAUGGGCUCUGAGCCUAUAAAACAAAUA